This is a long non-coding RNA of Pseudophryne corroboree (corroboree frog), 1139 nucleotides long. RefSeq lists it as uncharacterized. Lineage: Eukaryota; Metazoa; Chordata; Amphibia; Anura; Myobatrachidae. The transcript is spliced from 4 exons. The record is from RefSeq and is a predicted model, not a curated record.
GCUAGUCCCUGGCAGGAAGGGGGUGUCCUGGAGUCAUUGUACUCUUACCUCCAGCCACUAGGACAGUUGUGUGCAGUCAGUGGGACUGGGGACCAGCCGGCCAGCUGCUAGCACUCCAGCCCCAGGAUGCUCCAGAUCACAGCCUGUCACCGGGACCCUGCACAGGAAUUACACCCCACGACCACCCUGCAUGGAUACUAUGGGCUCAGCAGUGUAUCUCCUAUGGAAACAGCAUUCACAAUAUUUGGGAAUAAAAAUGCACUUUUUUUUUUUUGGAUCUGUUCAUUUUCUGGCUACUUUAUGGGAUUUAUCUUUAAGAAUUCCUUUUGGUGGAUUAUGAUAUCACUGGGGCCCUUGUCACUAGAGUCAUCAUUGCAGCUGUCAUCAUGACAUGUCAUCAAGCCUCUCCUAGAGCAGAGUUAGAUGGAGCCUCUCUGACAGAUGGUUGCUAAGGACAUCAUUGGUGAGGUGGAGCUGGAUGGCAGAUGCACAUGGGGAAUGGCAGCACCAGGACCUGGUGAAAGUUUUUUGUAUUUUAAGGUUAAAGACACCAACUGGAGAAUGAAUCCUACAAUCUAGUACCCAAGUCAUCCUAAAACUGACUGGACUAUUUGGAGCUUUACGAGAACACUGAUAACAUUGGAUGAAAUAACGAAUACCUGCAGAUGAAAAUUGUACAAUUACCAAGCAUACAGGGCUAUGUAUUUUUCUAAUGUCAGAAAAUCUACUUCCUGGAAGUAAAAUGACUGGAUAGAAACAGUUUAAUCAAGCUAUGGAGUUUCAGUCGGAGAAGUCUAUCAACCUUUGAACCAAAAUGGAACUAGAAGAUUAAUACAGAGUUUUGCACCUGGAGACCAUUACUACAAUAACUGGCUACAUCUCUUACUAAUUUUAAUGAACAACUCGUAAAUUAACAAAUAUACCUAAAUAAAUAAUGAAAAUAUAAAAGCAGUCAUAUGGUUCAACCCAUUACUCUGCAAACAAACAAGAGCACUUUGCAAACAAGAGGGAGUCAAUAUUUUGGGUAUUGUUUUAAUGGAAACAGGUGUAUGAAACAAAAUAUAUAACAUUACCUAAGAAAAGAAAUGCAGAAACUGUAUCUUUCUACAAUUAUAAAUAAAAGUUAUAUAUGAAACGUU